AGGAACUUCUGGAUUGCUUUCCAAAGUGGCUGCACUGUUUUCUAUCCCCACUGGUAAAUGGCAGGAAAACAUCUAAGAAAGGAGGCUCCCCCCUUCCCUUGCAGGGUUACCAGCAAUUAAAAAGAAGUACUAGAGAGGCAAAUAUCGGCAGUAUACAUCUAAGCGCUGGUCGGAAAAGAAGGAACUCAGCCCAAGAACUUGCCCAAUCUGAUACUGGAGGUGCCACUCAAGAACCACUCCCUCCAAGAUGUUUUCCUGGAUUUCCUCAGCCUAAAGUAAUCCCUCUUUUUCCUGGCUAUACCAUCUGGAACAGAUGACUUCCAAGGACACCGUAGCAAAGAAAAAGAGAACUGGAAGCCCAUGUGCCUUAAUCGCUUCAUCCUAGAGCUUCCUGAGACCUCCCCGGAGGCUGAUGCUGCCGUGCUUCCUGUACAGCCUGCAGUACUGUGAGCCAAAUAAACCUCUUUUCUUUAUAUAUUACCCAGUCUCAGGCAUUUCUUUAUAGCAAUGCAAGAAUGGACUAAUACAAAGUUCAUUCCAACCUUCAUGGAUGACUUUGAGGGGUUCAAGACUUCAGUGGAGGAAGUCACUGCAGAUGAGGUGGAAAUAGCAAGAGAACUAAAAUUAGAAGUGAAGCCCGAAGAUAUGAUUGAAUUGCUGCAAUCUCAUGAUAAAACUUGAACAGAUGAGGUAUUGCUUCUUAUGGAUGAGCAAAGAAAGUGGAUUUUUGAGAUGGAAUUUACUCCUGGUGAAGAUGCUGUGAACAUUGUUGAAAUGACAACAAAGGAUUUAGAAUAUGACAUAAACUUAGUUGAUAAAGCAGUGGCAGGGUUUGAGAGGACUGACUCCAAUUUUGAAAGAAGUUUCACUGUGGGUAAAAUGCUAUCAAAUAGCAUGGCAUGCUAUAAAGAAAUCUUUUGGGCCAGGUGCAGUGGCUCAUGCCUGUAAUCCCAACAUUUUGGGAGGCCGAGGUGGGUGGAUCACGAGGUCAAGAGAUUGAGACCAUCCCGGCUAACAUGGUGAAACCCCAUCUCUAUUAAAAAUACAAAAAAAUUAGCUGGGCAUGGUGGCACAUGCCUGUAGUCCCAGCUGAGGCAGGAGAAUCACUUGAACCCCGGAGAUGGAGGCUACAGUGAGCCAAGAUUGUGCCAUUGCACUCUAACUUAGUGACAGAGCAAGACUCUGUCUAAAAAUAAAUAAAUAAAUAAAUAAUCUUUUAGGCCAGUCGUGGUGGCUCACGCCUGUAAUCCUAGCACUUUGGGAGGCUGAGACGGGCAGAUUGCCUGAGCUCAGGAGUUCCAGACCAGCCUGGGCAACACAGCGAAACCCCAUCUCUACUAAAAUACAAAAAUCGGCUGGGCGUGGUGGCGGGCGCCUGUAAUCCCAGCUAUUCAGGAGGCUGAGGCAUGAGAAUUGCAUGAACCCUGGAGGCGGAAGUUGCAGAGAGCUGAGAUCUUGCCAC
Molecule: long non-coding RNA, 1462 nt
Organism: Homo sapiens (human)
Lineage: Eukaryota; Metazoa; Chordata; Mammalia; Primates; Hominidae
Product: long intergenic non-protein coding RNA 1285
Source: Ensembl